This is a long non-coding RNA of Mirounga angustirostris (Northern elephant seal), 6348 nucleotides long. RefSeq lists it as uncharacterized. The record is from RefSeq and is a predicted model, not a curated record. Lineage: Eukaryota; Metazoa; Chordata; Mammalia; Carnivora; Phocidae. The transcript has 3 exons.
UGGUCUGUGUUUGUUUUUUCCCCCAGGCCAAAUGGCUUCCCAUCUGGGACAUACUUUUCUGGACUUCCCUCAUUGCUUCUACUCUCCUUCCCUGCCCUAAUUUUCUUUCAUUCUGUCCUUAUUGGUACAGUCGGCAGCUAGACCAAAGUGGUUUGUCAGGUGGUGGAGGCCCCAAGCUAGCUUAGGCUAACUUCUGCAGAGCCAGGGGCCAGGAAGCAAAGCAGUGGACCUUCCUGUCAGGCGCCCACGUGACAUGCGAGAGCCGGAGUCCUUUCAGGGCCCGACUGAGGGUGAAGCAAGGAACCUGUGGAGAGGGGAAUUUCUAGGCUCAGGACUACAGGCCUAGGUUUCCAGUCAGGGCCAUCUCUGGGUAAUACUGUGAGGAAGUUAGAUCUAAGUGAGUUGGUAUAGAAGAACCAUUCAUUUUUUUUAAAGAUUUUUUUUUUUAAGUAAUCUCCACCCAACAUGGGGCUUGAACUCACAACCCUGAGAUCAAGAGUCACAUGCUCUACUGACUGAGCCAGCCAGGCAUUCAUCUUUUUUUCAGGAAGGCGUGACUGAGCACCUUCUCCAAGCCAGGCGCUGAGUGGGUGCCCAGGAUAUCACUGUGAAUGAGAAGGGCAAAGUCCUUCCCUACCUUUGUAGACUUGGUAGCCUCGUGAGAUCCCAAAAAGGUUUUUAUUUGUUGGCUUUAAAAACACACACGCACAUAUGAUUUUUAGUCAUGCGUCCAUCCUCUACCAAGUUUUGGUUAGGGUUGGAGUACCUCUCAGACCUUUGAAACUUGUGUUUCUGGUGCCAAAGUAGUCCUGAAUCUUGGGCUUAACCAGUGGAAUGUUGGUAAAUGUUUAACAAUUAGCUCUCUGGAGGGAAGUGUAUGCAUGUAUAUAUGUACAUAAGUUAAUUCUAAAUUUUACUGAUAUAAAGUAUGUGUGCCUCACAAAUUACGUAUAAAAUGUACAAAAUAUCAUUAAUAAGGUAAUUAAUUUUGUAAAUGUAUUCAACUAGUUUAUUAUCAGCACAUUAUUAGUAUUAAUAACAUUGUUGGUAUUAAUUAGUAAUUUUAAUGUUAAUUGUUAAUCAGUAGCUAACUGAUUCUCACAGAUGGCUUUUGUGGGUUUUUGCCAGACUCUCGUAUCCGUAACCAACUUGUGGUUGCCAUUGCUAAACAAAUGGAGUUCUGACAUGAAGGUGAGUUGAUCUUUUCAUUUACGUGUGAAACAACAAAGACAUAUGUCGGAACUUCAUUCAUUCCUCAAUGAUGUGAGUGACUUCUUCCUUGAAUAGGAUAAUGGUUUUCAGACACUGGAAGAUUAUUUCUUCAUUAUCUGGUAUUAUUUCACAAAGUGACAGCUACCGACAUGGCUCACAGUUGAGUUUAAUCUGCAUUAUUAACAUUUUCCCUCUCACUUUCUUAGGUCUAGAAAAUCAACAGAAAAAGUAAAGCCUGAUUAAGAGUAUUUACUGAUCUCUGAGUCACAAGCGCUCAGCCCGUGGCCCAUGGCAAGUCACCAGCUUUGCUGCGAGGUUGUUGCCCACUAUCCCACGGUAUUUCCGCCACACGGACGUGGCAGAUAAUCACCUAAGUGCACAGAUCACUGUGAAAUAGAGUAAAAUGAUGAAGUGAUGAGUUCGGGGGUAUUUCUUACCUAAUUAAAAAAAAUUUUUUUUAAAGAUUUUAUUUAUUAAUUUGACAGAGACACAGCAAGAGAGGGAACACAAGCAGGGGGAGUGGGAGAGGGAGAAGCAGGCUCCCCGCCGAACAGGGAGCCCGAUGAUGCGGGGCUUGAUCCCAGGACCCCGGGAUCAUGACCUGAGCCGAAGGCAGACGCUUAACGACUGAGCCACCCAGGUGCCCCUCUUACCUAAUUUUUAAUAGAAUUUAUUUCAGUAUAACUUUCACAGCCAGCUCACAUUUGUGACAACAUAGCAUUAGAAAGAGCCGGCUCCAGCACACCCCUGGGCCUGACUCUAUUUCCAGGCCCUGAAUGACCCUCAUCCCCACUCCCACGCCCCUUUGUCAUUGAUUCGGGACCCUCCAGCCCACUGCCAUGGAUGGGGAGCUCCUAGAUUCCGGAGCUAACCCUAGUGGCCACUUUGAAUGAGGGCCCUGGGGACAGGGUGACACCAGUGGCUUCUCCAUGACUGGGUGGCCUCUUUCUGCCUGAGGAGCAAAAGCAGAGGUGGAAGAGAGUCAGGGACACUCGCAGUGACUCUGGAAGGCAGGCACAUCUGGCAAGCACUCACGGCUAAGAGAGAAAGGAAGGAUGAAGGGGUGAGGGCAGGAGAGAGCUCGGGCUCAGCCCUCUGUCCACUUGGCUCUACUCCUGGGCUAUAAUUUCUCGUUGAAGGCUUUCCAGAAAGGCUGGUGACCUUGGAGACUAUAGGUUAGUGGAGGGGGGAGCCGAGACAAACCCUUCCCUCCUGCCUCUGGGAUGUUAGCCAGAGCCCUGGAAGCUACUCCCGAGGGCUGUCCAAUGUCUGCUCUUGGAGUCUACCUUUGGGGCCCGUUUCCUUUUCAGCAGGAGAGGGGUGGCAGUGACUUUGGGUCUUCGGUUGGGCCUCUUGCUGACUGGCUGAGUCUGUUUUGGAAUCUGGUGGGAAGUCUGCCCAGCAUUCUGGGCCAUCCUCUGCAUGCAGGCCACAGACGAACCCUGUUUCCUUUCAGGCCACAUGGCCUGGUCUCUGCUCUCCAGGUCACCGCCAGGCAACUUAGCAGGUCCAACUGCUUGGAUACGGUUGGGCCAUGCUGCGCUCUGGAUGCCACCGCAUGAAUGAGCGUUCUGUGUUUGCACCUAGGCUGGUGGCUCUCCGAGGGCCCUGUCCCCAGCACCCCCCCCGCCCCCACUCAGUACAAAGAGCAGUCCUCAGUGACGGAAUGCAGCAAUGAGAAAGCCUGGCGGACAGUCAAGAUUUCUUCCUGGUGAAGCCGAAUCACAGUGUGGAGCCCCGUGUGGAAGCGCUCAUUUUGGAACCUUGUCCAAGGAGUCUCCUCUAUUAUUGCUAACACUUGGCAGGGGGGCAGGGCAAACUCCCCACUCCCCACCCCCACGCCGACACGGGUUUUUACCAAUUAGCUGUUCGGUAACCAGGAAGUCCUGAUGCCAGUGGUUUUCCUACCACCCUAAGAGAACAGUCACCUUUACCCCUCAGCCCUCCGUCUGCACCCCCCCCCCCCCCCCGCACGCCUCCGCUCCCGGGGCUGCUGGCCCAAGUGCUGACCGGGAGCGAUUGCUCUUGGCAUCAAGCCUGAGGACAGGCUGUGCGCCGAGAGGCCGGGGCGGCCCUCCCUCUACGACACGGGGUGGGAAGUGACCAGGGUGAGGACGCAGACAAUAAGGGCUCAGUACCCUCCGAAGCGGGAGGGAUCCCUGGGGACAGAUGUACCAGCGGUCCGCUCCCUGCCAAGCCCCCGCGUCCCACCCAACCCACACCCCAGCAUCCACACGCAUCCGCCGGCGACCACCUUCGGACAACACCAUUCACGGGGGUUCGAGCGAGAGGGCAGGCCUUACGAGGAGGUCCACAGAGAGGCCCGGCACUGCAGUGCCGGGAGUGAGGUGUCUCUGAGCCCGCUGUUACUGCCCGUCUUCUAAUAAGGCCGGAGGCCAAUCAGUCCUUCUAAUAAGGCCAGAUGCCUGUCUCCGGGGAGCACAGCGCCCCUUCUCCCAACAUGUCCUGGGCUGAAUGACCCUUGGAGUGUACCAGGUUGAAGUUCUGGUGUCUGUGUCCGUGUGUGUGUGUGUUAAAAUAUUAAAACUGUGUUUCCAGACCAGACUUUGCUCCCGUGUUCAAGAGCCCCAAUCCAAGUGUCACUUGGAUGUCCCACAGGCAACUGCAAUUUCACAUACCCUAUGCUUCUCGUCCUCUCCUUCCCCCUCAAGCCCACAGUUGGUCCUGUCCCACGAUCCCUUUCUCAAGAAAUCGCGCUGCCACUCACCUACGUGGCCAACCGGGAAACCUGGGCACUCCCUCACCCCACAUCCCCCUAUUUCCCUCGGCCACCAAGUCAAACCUGUUCUCUCCUGCACACUUGUGCCUCAUCCAGCUGGCCCUGCACACCCUGCCAAGACUUUAGGCCAGGUCACCAACUUCUCGAAGCGCAGUGACAGCCUCUUGAUGUGCUUUCUUGCCUCCAGUCGUCCCGUCAUCCCUGCUCCAGCCCCCACACCAUCCCCAGCCCUGUCUCUAAACCAGCCCUGAAUGAUGUGCCCAAGGCAGCGGGGAGAAGGCCCACCGGCCCAAACGCAUCUUUCUCUCCAACUUGUAGGUGCCCGAAGCGCCUCUUAUUUCGAUACGGGUUGUAUAGACCUCACUGUCCUCAGGAUUAGAGUCCAGAUUCCAAUCAUAAUUUGCAAGUCUCUUCAAGAUCUGGCCGCUGCUAAAUGAGAUGUCGGUCAGAGGGUACAAACUUGCAUUUAUGACUAAGUUCCAGAGAUCUAAGGUCCUUUUAUAUGGAUCAAGUGCAGGAGUCCAGCCUGUCCCCUAGUCACAUCAGAGACAAAGAGAGGGAGAAAGAGAAUGAGGACGUUGUCUGGAUGCUCGGAUGCUUCUGGAAAAGUCAGCUCUGGCAGUGGCUGAGGCGUACCUCCAGGAUUCAGAAACCCCUGCAGUUAAUGUAGCCCAAAUUCUGAGCUGAGUGUGCUUAGCGACACCCCAAAGAGGACCACGGCAUCAGAAUCUUUCUAACCCUAGCCUUGGGCAAACACCACCACCAAAGAGUGGCCAGAGCCAAGCUUUGGCUGGACAUGGAACAGAACUGGGAAGAAAAGAGUACAUCGGGGUAGAUAACAAGUUGUUUACAGUGAGCAAGGCCCCAGUGGCCGCCUCAUAAAUCUCAGUCCUGGGAAAGUAUGGUCAGAGCUGCGAGCCCCGACGCGCACGUGCUGCUCUUCCCGUGGAAAUAUCAACCAGUCCGCGCACGCACCCGGGGCUGGGACGAGGGCAACACACUUUGGAGCCAAAACCUUCAACCAACCACCAAACUUUCUUUAAAGGGAGACGUGUUCGGCUCUCUGCUGGGCGCAGGGACUACAAAUAGGAGUAAAAAUGCAACCAUCUGUGUUGAUAUAAUCUACGCUCGCACAUGCCAUCGAUCAUCCGGGGAGGGCAACAGCAGUGGGAGAGAGACUAAGGGGUCACCGCAAACCCCUUCUGCCUUGUGAAUUUGCUAUCAGAAGCACACGUUACCUAUGCAGACAAUAAAUGAGGGGCACCCAGCCGGCUCGGUGGAAGAGCGUGCGACUCUUAACCUCGGGGUUGCGGGUUCAAGCCCCAUGUUGGGUGUAGAGAUUACUUAACUAAAUAAAACUUAAAAAAAAAUUUAGGGGUGCCUGGGUGGCUCAGUCGUUAAGCGUCUGCCUUCGGCUCAGGUCAUGAUCCCAGGGUCCUGGGAUCGAGCCCCGCAUCGGGCUCCCUGCUCCUCGGGAAGCCUGCUUCUCCCUCUCCCGCUCCCUCUCUCGCUGUGUCUCUCUCUGUCAAAUAAAUAAAAUCUUAAAAAACAGAUUUAAAGCGCCAAGGUUGUUGACAACAACGAAGGAUCCAGGAUACACCGACGGAAUUGACCCAUCGGUCUUCCUGGCUUGGGACACACUUCGGGCUUUCGCCGUGGCGGUUACGCCCAAGAGGUCUUCUUACCACGUCCUGGCUACAAAAAGGCGGGUGUUUUUCCAAGCACAUCACAUGAGGAGACUGAUAACCCGGCAAGAAUGCGGAGGCAGGUGAGCCCUGCCCAAGGCAGAAGGGAGUUUUUCCUUCCACGGGCUUUGACCACGUCAUCCGCCUUUCACGGACAAAGGUGACUCCAGGGGUGACAGCCUGUCACCUUGCAGACACGCCCCUGUCCCCGCCUGGCCCUGGCCCUGGCCCAGAGAAGUGUUUCCCGAUCAGCUCUGGCCAGCUGGGCAGGGGUCAAUGCCUCCGGCUGGAUCCAGCCGAAACCUGCUAAAGAGCUAGCCCCAGUCUGAGAACAAGGGUCGGCAAAGUAGGUUCUGGUGGUUUUGGCGAGGGCAAAUGGACAAGUCAGUUUUCCGGUGUGGCGUCGUUUUUCUGGAUCGUGGGCUCUGACUUUUCCCUCUGCGCCCUCCGCCCCCAGACUACCUUCAGGCUUCCUCUCUGCGAAGCGCAUCCCAUCUGCUGGGAAAUAGUAACCAUGUGACAAUAAGCAUGAUCACGACCCUCUCGGGAAUGCUCCCGUGGGUCAGGCACGGAGCUCAGCGCUAUACACGCGUUCUCUCCCAAGCAGUCCUCAUGGACAUGCCACGAGGAAGGGCUUCUGGCUGUCUUUGUUUUAUAGCUGAAGAAACUCAGCCUCUCAGAAAGAGCUAGUAAGUGGUGGGGACCCACUGG